GGGGGUGUUCCGGAUUCGACUGGAGCGGAUCCAGGGAUACGUUGCAGGUGGAGCGCCAUCUCCUGAUUGGCAACCUUUAUAACUGCUAACGAUGCAGAUUAUGCAAUGGCAGCCUAAAUAGUGCUGUCACGGACACUCAGGGUGCAGUCCUGAAUCCUGAACUGUCUGUUAGAAACCAGGACUUGCUUUCUGUCGGGCUUUGACGGCAGGAGGGACUUUUUCAAAGACCGGAUGUGGAAAGGCCUGUCGACCGGCCUGAAGCGUCUUAAAAAUCAAAUGCGUUGACUAAACCUGUAGACGCGUAUUUCUUACCCUUCAGGACGCGGGUUCAACUCCCGCCACCUCCAAUA
Molecule: transfer-messenger RNA, 350 nt
Filed under: Salinispira pacifica
Lineage: Bacteria; Pseudomonadati; Spirochaetota; Spirochaetia; Spirochaetales; Spirochaetaceae
Description: Standard tmRNA
Rfam family: transfer-messenger RNA
About the family: Bacterial tmRNA, also known as 10Sa RNA or SsrA, is named for its dual tRNA and mRNA-like properties. Its role is to liberate the mRNA from a stalled ribosome.
Source: Rfam by way of RNAcentral